CAGCCAAACCCCUGCCUUACUGACCUCUCCCCUGGAGGAGCAGGAGGAGCGCUCGAGGCCGCCCUGGGAGGGCUGAGAGGCAGGCUCUGGACUGGGGACACAGGGAUAGCUGAGCCCCAGCUGGGGGUGGAAGCUGAGCCAGGGACAGUCACGGAGGAAGAAGAUCAAGAUGCGCUUUAACUGAGAAGCCCCCAAGGCAGAGGCUGAGAAUCAGAAGACAUUUCAGGAGACAUCUACAAAUCUGAAGGACAAAACAUGGUUCAAGCAUCUGGGCACAGGCGGUCCACCCGUGGCUCCAAAAUGGUCUCCUGGUCCGUGAUAGCAAAGAUCCAGGAAAUAUGGUGCGAGGAAGAUGAGAGGAAGAUGGUGCGAGAGUUCUUGGCCGAGUUCAUGAGCACAUAUGUCAUGAUGAACAUACAUAUGAUAGUUGAGAAAGACACAUAUUCUGAUCAUGAAGAAAUAAACACAAGUUAAAUAUGACUAAGCAGAAAGAUGGAAGGACCAGGAACGGUGAUGCUAACUUGGAACCACGAUGCAGGCUCUAAACUCCUCUAAAAUCAUCCUCCCUUGUGAGAAAAAUACAUAAGUCACUCUUAAAAUAAAUAGAAACCUGAAC
RNAcentral lists this long non-coding RNA (616 nucleotides) under Homo sapiens (human). Its description in RNAcentral is "HSALNT0304237". Lineage: Eukaryota; Metazoa; Chordata; Mammalia; Primates; Hominidae. The record is from RNAcentral.